Molecule: ribosomal RNA, 488 nt
Filed under: uncultured bacterium
Lineage: Bacteria
Description: bacterial SSU rRNA
Rfam family: Bacterial small subunit ribosomal RNA
Source: RNAcentral
GAUGAACGCUAGCUACAGGCUUAACACAUGCAAGUCGAGGGGCAUCACAGUGUAGCAAUACACGGGUGGCGACCGGCGCACGGGUGCGUAACACGUAUCCAAUCUGCCCGUUACUCGGGGGAUAGCCUUCUGAAAGGGAAGAUUAAUACCCGAUGGCAUGUAUUUCCGGCAUCGGAGAUACAUUAAAGAUUUAUCGGUAACGGAUGAGGAUGCGUACGAUUAGCUUGUUGGCGGGGUAACGGCCCACCAAGGCGACGAUCGUUAGGGGUUCUGAGAGGAAGGUCCCCCACACUGGAACUGAGACACGGUCCAGACUCCUACGGGAGGCAGCAGUGAGGAAUAUUGGUCAAUGGUCGGAAGACUGAACCAGCCAAGUAGCGUGAAGGAUGACUGCCCUACGGGUUGUAAACUUCUUUUGUUUGGGAAUAAAAGACGCUACGUGUAGCGUUCUGCAUGUACCUUACGAAUAAGCAUCGGCUAAUUCCGUG